CUCCAGACCUCCGGGAGGUGGAGGCUGGCUUUGUCUUUGCAGGGUAUAACAUCCGCACAGACAGUAUUUAGUCAGACCCAGACAGUUGCUCAGCCCAGCAACUUAGCUGUGCAAACGAAAUGGUCUCCCAUAAAGGAAGCAUUUACACUACAUCUGCAAAUUACUCAUGUCCAGAACAGCUGCUCACAGUAUCUGCCGAAAAGCCAGCUUGCUGACACAUUUCCAGAACGUACCACGAGUUUUUUUACAGAUUGGAAGACGACCCUUACCUGCAGCAGAAGCAGAGGAAGAUUUUCCGGCGUGUACUCUCUUCUUAGGCAGCUCUCUAGCUCCCUCUGCAGGACAUCUGCCUGAAUAACAAGGGGCUUGCACUCCGCCACCUAAACAACGAGUUUCAAACAUCAUCAAUCUAUCAAAUUUCAAAAGUCACAAAAUCAGAUCUCCCUGAGGAUACAAUGACUUGCACUUUUCUAGCACUGAGAAGGCUCUUUUGUUCAAUAUCAUUAGCCGUUUGCAAAAAAUAAACUUUCCUUGCAAAUAGUUCCCUAAUUGAUGAAAUGGAAUGUGUUGUCCUGAAGCCAUUCACGUUCCUACUCACCCCGAGGGUUCUCUUCAGAGCCACUUCCCGUUCGCGUCUGAAGUGAGCGACAUCCUUUGGUAUUUGAACAGAGCUGCAGGAAGGUUUGAACCACAGAAACCGCGGUUAUGGAGAGCUGUGAUAAAGAAGAUGAUGGCCGACCUGGUGGCUCUGUGACCCUUUCCAGCCGCUCAUUUCAGAGAGCGCCAAAACUUCCCGGGUUCCUGGAGUCCUGAUAGGAAACCACUAAACCGGAAGACCACCUCGGGGAUCACCGGAAAUGAACUACUGAUACAAAACAGCUACAAGAAGUCACCAUGGCCAAUUCAUUCUCCAGGUGACUGACACCCCCAGUUGCCCCUACAAACUUCUUGAAGCACUGCACCCCCAAUCUGAGCAAUGCUGAUGUCUGAAGGUUCUCAAUGACUUUUCCCGUAUGGCAAUUAUUAGAAUUGUUUUCUACUGUGAAGAAAAUAAUACAUUUGGUGGCUUUGCAGUUCUUCAGAACAAUAUUGAUGUGACCACAGAAAAAUCUGGAGAACAGAACAGCUACAGAAUUAAAAUGGAGAAUUAAAAGUCACAGAAAUUCAUGUUCCCUCUUGGGAGUUACUUCACAAAGCUAUUUUUGAGGCAAGCUACUUAUCUUUUCUACUAACCCAUUGUAAAAUUGAGAACAGCAAACUGUCUUGCUUAUCAGGGUUGCUACAUUGUUGCUUUUGCAGGCAUACUUUUUAUGGCCUGCUAACUAUUGUUACCAAGACAAAUGGGGUUUGCCAAAGGCAAAUCUUUGCUGGGUUCAGAUUGCAGACAUGCGAACUAUGAGUCUCAUCUCUCUACAGAUUAUAAAACAGACCACAGCACCGGCAGAACACAUUUCUUCCCUAUCUCCAGGCCCUCUGAGUCCACAGUGGGGUGGAGUAAUGAGGUCACUUGGCAAAUGAUUUCAUUAAUUUAUUUAUUUGCCUACAUCAGAAAAGCAGUCUUUCUCUGAUGUAGGUCAGCCAGUGUUUGGAAAUCACAUUAUGUAAGCCAGGAAACCCAGGGGUUUUGUUUAAAUGGGCUUCCAUCUGUAAAACACACCAAACAGAUUCAUAUUAGCACGUGUAGCCAGUAGACUACCCCAGCUGUAGAAGGAAUCUGGAAGCAUUUCUACUCUGAACUGGCCAACUCACAUUCUCCACAACAGCUUUCAAACACAUUCUCUCUGAAUGUUUAUAAAGAUCUCCAGAUAUUCUGAGCUACAUUCAUCUACAUUGAAAAAGCUCAGGGAUAAGGCCCGUGUUUAGCAUGUCCAAGGCCCAAGAUUUGGUCUGCAGCACCACGAGAAAAUUAAAAACUAUACCUCACUAGAAUUUUGAGACCAUUAUCCACCUUCACCAUGGCUGAAGCACCGUGGCACUGCUGAUGUCUGUACCAUACAUAUAACAGGGGCCGGCUGUGACUCACUACGUUGCUAAGCCACCAGCAGGAAAUGAUCUAUAGUUUUAAAAAACAGACCUGAUCCAAUCAGUGAAGUAAAAGGUGAGGAAGUGAAAAGCCACUCAGUGUGGCUUAAAUUAAUAAGAAAAGUUGUAAACCAUUUGCAUAAUUGUGUGCCAGUCACCAAGUGGCCUUUGGAACAUGUCUUUUCUAUGUAUAUAUUAUUUUUCAGUUUUUAUCUAAGUCAUGACUUCUCUCCCCAAAACACUCUUCAGUGUUUCACACCUCGAUACCUGGUCUUCUUGCUUCUGAAUAUGAUACUGCUAAAGGACUGGCUGUGGACAUGUGUUUGAAAUCCUAAAAAAGCCAGUACCAUCGAUCAACAAGCCCAGGAAGAGGUAGACAGAUACUGCUACCAGGAAAAGAGCAGGUGAAAAUGACAGAGUAAGAUGGAGAAGGAAGACAUCACAAACAGGCAAAGCCCAAAGUAUCCAUCUAGGAAAAAGAACAAACGCUGAGCAGGCACGUAAUGUUGGGAGUAUCUAGAGUGGUCAUAGCCUUUAUGUCAUCUUCUGUUCCCUUCUCUUUAUUAUAUUUACAGUGUCCCUUAUCUCACCUGUCAGAAUUGCUGUUCUUCAAUCUCCCUUGACUCUAAUACCUUGACAUAAAUGUUUAUUAGACAAUAGUAUUUAUUAAAUGAACAAGUCAAAUAUAGCAAUACCCAAUUAAAGACCCUUAGCUCCCAAGUCUCGUCUUCACAGUGGCAUCAGGGCAUUAAAGGAAGCAUCCUUCCAAGGGCCCACUGGCUGGGUAAGCCAUUCCAGCCCUGCCCCGUGCAGACAAUGCUGGGCUCCUCUUUCCCAGUGUCUAUAAAAAUAGGCCUCCAGUUCUUGAAAGAACUUGAGCAGAACAGCUGACUUGGUGCCUGAAACCCAGGACCCAGCCCAGAACUCAGAUAAGAACUCUAAUAAAGUUAACACAGGUUCUUGAACUGUAACCCAUUUAGUUUCAAGAUCUUAACCGGGUUUGUGAUUCUUGAAUUGAGCAACACUGCAUUAAAUAGGUGCUCUAAUAGGCUACAGAGUGAAGUUAGUUUUAUACUCAGCAAAGGCUGCAAAAAGGAUAAAGAACAAAAAGUGGAUUUGUUAUUUUAAGGCUAAUUUCCUUGAGGUGGGUGGGAGAACAUUUCUAUACUAUAGUGCUUGCCUGGUGGUAUGUGUGAGGCCCAGACCUCAGUUCCCAGAACCAUAAAAACAAGACAAAAACCUGGGGGCUGGAGAGAUGUCUCAGUGGUUAAGGCUGCUUUUCCAGAGGACCCCAACUUAAUUCUCAGUACUCACAUGUCAGCUCAUGACUGUUUAACUCCAGUUCCAGAGAGUCCAAUGUCCUCUUCUGGGCCCUGCGGACACUGUACUUACAUAGUACACAGACAUACAUGCAGGCAAAAUACCCAUACACAUAAAAUUAAACAACAACAAUAAACCCCAAAAACCUACUAUCUAUGUGAGGAGACAAAAAUACCAUAGGUUAUUUCAAGUAAUUUGUUUUUGCAAAGACUAAAACAGAGGAAACCUCAUUAUUAGGCCUAUUAAAAUUUUCCUAUUGGGGGAAUUACCUCAUAUUGUUACCUUUUAUUUCUGAAAAGCUAAAUAACUUAGUCUUGAUUGGUUGCCUUUGGCCAGAGUAACUUUUAGCCUGGUCUGCUGGGACCCUGGGCAGGAGCUCAGCCCAGAGCAGUAGCCUCCUACAGUUUUUAUGCAACAAACGCAAUUAUCAAACACUUAAUGAGAUGCCACUUUUGGGCCAAACACUGUGCUGGAUGCUACGAGGUGAGCAGAACUUUGUCCUCAGAGCGCUCAGCCUAUGGGAAAGACAAAAAUAAUCUACUCAGUGAGUUUAAGGCUAGCCUGGGCUCAUGACAUUUUGUCUCUCUCUCUCUCUCUCUCUCUCUCUCUCUCUCUCACACACACACACACACACACACACACACACACACACACACACACACACUGGGUACAAAGGUAGGGGAAAUGCCCAGAAGACCAGAUUUUGGAAGCAGUGAGAUGAGGUGAGAAUAGGGAAGCUUUUAAACUGAGACACUAAGAAUGAAGAAACAUUAGACAAGCAAAAUCCAUAGUAGUCUAGGCAGAGUGUGGUCAAGAAUUCUGCUUCAAUCAACUAUGGCAGUGCACGCCUAUAAUCCCAGCACUACACACGUAGAGGCAAGAAUACUCCAAAUUUGGGGCCAGCCUAGAGAAACAAACAAACAAAAUCUGGCCUAAAGUUUCUUUCCACAGUGUUAGAUUUCAUUUUCCUUCACAGGCUAUUGGGUGUGGCCUCCUUAUACAGACUCACUGAAUUUCUGUUUGGUGAAAGAAACACUGAAUGUCAUAGGCAAUUAAAAUGGUCAGUUAGCCCUUUAGCACUGCAUUGCCCACUGUCUAUGCACAGAGAAGUUUGUAAACACCUAGGAAUUAUUUACUUCACACCAAUAACACCAGCCCAUGGAUCAGCCAGCCCGUGGGUCUUUGGCUGUGACAUCCAUUAUGUUGCACAGAACAAACCAGCCUGGCCCUGAUAGACUGCUCACAACAUUUAAAGUCACAUAUAUAGAGGGCUGGAGAGAUGACUUGUGUGUAAAGAGCUUGUAUUGCUCUUCUGGAGGACAUGAGUGAGGCCCCCAACACCCUCAUCAAGCUGUACCUCCAGUUCCAGAUUGGACCCUCGGGCCUCUGUGGGCAUUUGAACUCAUGCAACCCACAAACAGCACCCACAUAGACAUAACUAAAAUAAUACAUAUUUUUGAAAAAUCAAAUUUGUAUGUAAUUUUUUGACAGGUUGUUAUGGCUUUAAAAUACUACUUUAUAAACUGGCCAUGAUGGCACACAUUUUUAAUCAUAGGACCCAGGAAGCUGAGGCAGGAGGAUCAUGGAUUCAAGGUCAGCUUGGGCUAUCCAUCAAGACCCUGACUCAAUCAAAACAAACCAAAACCUAUGUUAUAGUUAAAGCUAUACUUUUAAAGUGAAACGGCUAUAACAAAAUCUUUAAAAUAAUGUUUAGAGCUGGGGCUGGGGCCCAAUGCCAGAGCACUUGCAAGUCAUGUGUGAGCCCGUGUUCCAUUCCCAUUCUGGAACCCCAAAUGAUUUUCAAAUACACCACCUCGGACAACCUACUGUGCUAAGUGUCUCUCACUUUACCUUACACCACACAAAGCUGAUUUCCCUCCAGUAUAACCAGUUGAAACUGUCACGUUGCCAGUGACCUGCUCCAGUACAGUUCGUUCCGAAUCCCAACUCCCCCCAGUAUUAGGAGACUCACAAUACCUGCUGCUCCAACACUGGAUGCUUCUGGGUCCACAGUUCCAUGAGAGUUGAGACCUGCCUUGGCUGGAAAGUUCCAGUUCCCCCUUUUUUUCAAUUUCUAGUUGAAUAGAACCCAAACAAUUCUUUUUCAGUGAAGUGAAAAAAUUAAUGAAAUCAUUCCAUGUUUCAGCAAGGAAGCUGCCCCAGCAACUCCAAUACUGCCCAAGGAAUGUCCCAUCUAAGGGAAGAAUGCUACCAGAGUCAGUAGCCGUGGCAAGCAGGUAGACUGUGAAAAUUUGUUUUCCUUCAGUAGUUAUGGUGGAGUGACAAAAGCAUUCUUUACCGUUUCUUAGUAAUUAAAUGUCACCUCAACAACCAAAACAAACCCAGAGUAACAUGUGGUAUGACUGUGUUAUUUUUGCACCAUGGCGCCUGACUGUAUGCUUUACUUCCUCCCUGUAUGAACCUAGGGUAGGAGGCAAGCCAAAGUUACUUCCACAGAGAAGGUGGCAACCCAAUUAGAACACUCCAACUCAGUUACUAAGAAUAUGUCCAUGAUUUCGCUUUUAGAUUUCAAGCCAUUUAAACUUGUGUUUUACUUUUUCUUUUCUGUUCAGAUACAAAAGCAUUUAGACCAGAGAUUCUCAACUUUUCUAAUACUGUGACCCUUUAAUACAGUUUCUCAUGUUGUGGUGACCCCCGAACAUAAAAUUAUUUUCAUUGCUACUUCAUAACUGUAAUUUUGCUACUUUUAUGAAUCAUAAUGUAAAUAUGUGUUUUCUGAUGGUCUUACGUGAUCCCUUAUAGCAAGGUCACUUGAUCCCCCAAAAGGGGUCACAACCCACAGGUUGAGAACAGCUGAUUUAGUUUUCCCUAAAUGCCAAACCUCUGCUGGAUGCUGUAGUUCCCAUAGCAACCUAAUGAGGCAGGAUUGGUAGGACCCAUGUACAGGGAAAGUGGAGGUACUACGGAACCCCUGGCUUAUACAGACUUCAACAGUGGAGACUGAUUUUAAACCAAGCCUUUUCACUCUGAUAUCCUAAGUGUUUCUCUACCAUGUUAUACUUAUGAGACAGUUCUCAAUUCUUAUUUGAGAUAGUCAAGUAUUUCUAAAUGGCUAAAAUUUUUACAUGGUAAUUUGUUUUAGCAAUAUAUUUUUUAAUCUUAUUCCAUGCUAGGAGCUGAGCCCAGGCCAAACCUUUACCACUGAGUCAAAAUCCUAUGUUUCUAUGCAAAAUGAUGCUAUUAGUAAAUGAAGAAUGUUCAGCCCUUCCCUAAGUUCUCAGGAAACAAGCAGGGAAAUUAAAGGGCUAUGGCCCUGGUUGUUUUUUUGUUUUUGUUUUUGUUUUUGUUUUUUCUUCUUUCUAAAUUGAAAUGACAGAGCUCAUAGUCUUGAGGAGGAAAGGUGAAGUUGAGCUACAGGAUGGAGUUUGGGCAGAAUCCACUAUGGACAUUUCCAGGCCAAGAUGCUGACAAAUUACAGUAGGCGCACUGCAAGAAGCAGAGAUUCUGCUCCAAAGGUUCUCAAUGCAAUCCCUACAGCAAACUACCCAUGGAUGGGUCUUCUAACUGGGCACUUAUAAAACAAAUGAGUCAGUUUUCCUCUUCCCCAGAAGGUCCAGAGUUACCCUAUUUCUCUUAUACACACCUUCUGAUGCAGGCUUCCUAGGAAAAUAGAUUGUCCUUAAAAAUUGCUUUCCUUAAGUGGGGCAUGGUGACACAUUCCUUUAAUCCCAGAUCUCAGGAGGCAGAGGCAGGCAGAUGUCUGUAAGAUCCAGGCCAGCCAGGGCUACUUAUACUCAAAUAUAUAGGUAAAAUAAAUAAACUGCCUUUUAUGGCCAGGAAUGGCUGCAAAUGCGGGAAGUAUAGACAGGAGGACUGGCCGGUUCAACACCAAUAACUUCAUAGUGAGUUCAGGGCCAGCCUGGCCUACUGUCUCAAAAAAUGAAAGCUGGGUGGUGACAAUGCAGUCCUUUAACACCAACCCAGCACUUGGGAGGUGGAGGCAAGUUGAUCUCUGUGAGGCUAGGAUGUUUUGUUUUGUUUUGAAGCAGCUCUUUGGGCUUACAUACCCAAACUGCAUAGUCCCCAUCCACUGGGAAUUCAGGAACAUGAACACUCUAUUGACCCUUUGAAAUUGGCCCAUUUCUUACACCUCCUCCCUAAUCCCAAGCUCUUCCCUUUACUGUAGUUUUUUUGUCUGGUUUCCAUUUCUAUUUCAGUUGAUGACAUCAGUUUUUUAAUUGUCCCAGAAGAUAAAAAUGUAAGUGUCCCAAAGACAUUAAUUCCAUACUUAAUUCCAUAGGCUUCUAGAAAGGCAAAAAGUGUCAAUUUAUUAUAAAAUAUGUAUACAACAAAGAAAUCCAUUGUGACAUCACUGAUUCUGAAGUAUAAAAAGAUAGCACAUUUACUGAAUUCAUUUUCUCUUGUGGAUAAGGUUGAUUAAAUGCCUAACUUCUUAGGAAAUCCCAUUUUUUCUUGGUCGUGUACAUUGUCAUAUACUAAAGAAAAUGACAUAUAACACAAACAAGAAACCAGGAAAAGUUACAGAAGAGUAGGAUGAACCCAGGUCCUGGUGUUUAAAAGGAAAGCAGGCUUGGAAAAGCAGAGGAGAAUCAGUGUCUUGAAGAUGUCAUCAGUUAUGCAUUGCUUCUCACAGCUGUCACAGCAAAGCUCAGCACAGGCAUUUCAACAAAAUGCAGAAUGAUUGUGUUUUUCCCUCUCCAAACAAAACACGAACACUGCUGAGACUUAAAACGAGGUACAGUGGCAAUCUCAGGGAAGUCACAGCACUCUGUUCACUCCGUGGUGAUCUGCAGGUAGCAGCCUACCUAAGUGAACCUGUGGAAUGGCACUCGGAGUUCAGGUUUAACUAGAUCUUAAUGAGUGGCCAUUCAGCCCCCUUCUUAGAUUGACCUUAGGGAGCUGCAAAAUGAAUGCUUCUAGCACUUGAUGAGGGCAGGGGCCUUUGGAUAACAGCAACAACAAAAAUCAGCCAUUUAUUAUUCUGGGAUUCUUGGUAGGUCAUUAGCCAUUAUUCUAAACAUACACAACUUCACAUUUCACAGAAGCCCAAACAUAAUUGAAAAUUUCCCAGCUAUAUUGAAUAUACACUCUACACAGACUUGUAGGUCUCACUGGUGAGGCUCACUGAAGGCAACAGUUCUGCUAAUGUCACUGCUCCCACUUGAUGUCAUCUCUCCUCAAUUUCACCUGCAGAUUGUGAACUUGUACUGGACGAAAGCUGCUGUUUUUCUGUAAAGGGUUAGUUUCAUUCAAACCCUUCCUGGAGCUAGUUUUAAUGUUCUUUGGUCCUUUAGGGUUGUCAUGUUCCUGAAGGACACAUGAAGAUUCAUUUAUCCUUGAGUUCUGAACUUUUUGCUGCAGCUUACGGACCUGUAGAGAAAAGAAAAUCUAAUGUUUUUGGUAAAAAUUAAUAUAAAUAUACCCCAAAGUAGAUGACUAGAUUGGUGGCUUAAAGAUUACGGCAAAAGGUUCAAUCCAGCAAGUUACUCAGUGACCACCGGAUCCACAGCUGACAUUGAUAGCCAAGCAGCCGAGUAACACGUAAAACAGCCUUGCCUUCAGGAAGCUCACUGCUCCAAUGAAUGAGGGACAGAGAAUGCUUGAGCUGGGACAACUCUGAAGGGAAGACUGUGCAUGUGAGAAGAAGGUCACAGUAGCGAAUGGGUGCGGGUGUUGAGCAAAAGGUUACGGGUCAGAACUAGAGCUCCAAGACCGGGAAUUCUUUUAGAUGAUACUAAUAGCAAAGUAAAGAAUUGGUGCUAGGAACAAGUGUUUAUUUGCUUAGGAGGCAAUUUUAAAUUAAAGAUUAAAUUUAUCACAAUAAAAGGCUUAUUGAAAUACUUAUUCAAAUUCUAAAAUGCAUAGAUUGGGUAACUCUAAAAUUGUGAUUAUUGUUCUAUCCAAAGUUUCUUCUAUGCAAUUCCAAGAAAGGGUACAAGUUGUAUAAUCUUUACCCAAACACAAUCAUAACAUUUUUUGUUUUUUACUUGUUAUAGUCUUAAAAGGGUGUAAAAUGAAAAUAACAUUUUUCUUUCUUGGCCACAAGCAUAACGAAUAGAGUAAUAUUCAGAGAUUUUACAAAUCACUGUCCUACAGAAGCAUGUGUGGAUGGAGGGUUGAUAUACCAGCGUCUUGCCUGGAUGCUGACCAUCCCUAGGCAGAGAGCUGUAUGAAGUACAUGAUGUGGUUGUGAGGUUUCCUGGAAAGACUCCCUUCUGUUUCAGCAACAGAAGUCAUAGUGUUUUAACUUCAGCUCUGGAUGGAGUCAUUGUCUUACUGUAAAAUACUAUACUCAUGAUUCUUCUGUUAAAAUAUUGAAGGCUAUGCCAUUCUUAGUUGCUAACACACAAGUACAAAGUCCUCCACACCUGAGUUCUACUAGCUAUAGGUGGCUAAGCAUAGGUUCCCAGGGAACACACUACAGCCCAGGAGAAGGCAGAGAAUGGUUCCAGGGUUGUGGUACCAGGUUUCUGUGUGUUACUGUCUCUGUGGGCACAAAGGACAUCACUAAAGCAGUGGGACGGAAGGCAAGAGAGAGGGAUGCCGGAAGGGGGACCGGAAAGAUGCGAAGGCAACAGCCUUCUAUACAGUUUCCCCAAGGUCUGACUCCACACGAUCUCGUUUGCUUUCACUCUUAUCUUGAAGAACUGAAAAGGAGGCCCAAGUCAUUACAGCAGUGAUGGCUCUCUGUAAGAGGAACAAGUGACUCCUUUGUGUCUUUUAGAACACCUUACCCACAGACUUCCAUUUAGAAGGCCAUACAGAGAUGUGACAUUGAAUCCACAUAUAUGUUGCAGAAUAUUUGUUUAACUAUGUAGAGAUGUAUUGCAUUUGUUUAAUUAUGUAAAGAUGUGUUGCUGUUUUACCUUGCCUGCCUAAGGCAUCUGAUUGGUCUAAUAAAAAGCUGAAUGGCCAAUAGUGAGGGAGGAGGUACAGGUGGGACUUCCGGGCAAGGAAAGUAAAUAGGAGGAAUAAUUUAGGUUCAGGGAAGAAAGAAAAAGAGAUGCCAGGGGCCAGAAAAACAGACACGGAGGAAGCAGGAAAGUAGGACAUAUAGAAUGAAAGAAAGGGAAAAAGCCCUGAGGUAAAACAUAGAUGAAUAGUAACAGGUUCAAUUAAGUUAAAACAGCUGGUGGGACAAGCCUAAGCUAAGGCUGAGCAUUCAUAAUUAAGAAUAAGUCUCCAUGUCUUUAUACGGGAGCUAGUUGUCAGCCCAAAGAAAAUUCCAACUACACAUAUAUUUCUAGCAGUUCUUUUUUAUUUUUUCCAACAUUGUAUGGCAAUUGUUUUUGUGUUCUGAAGACGGGUAGUUCUCAGAAGAGCAGCGUUUAUUUAAGUAAAGUGUUCUUACACUGUCUUGAUGCUUUUUGAGUUUGGAAAUCUGGUCUCCUUUGCUUUCUAUCUUCUUAGCUAAUUGCUCCAGUUCAUGCUCUAUGUCAUCAGAGUACCUUCCAGGUUGCAUCAUUUCUUUCAGUAGUUCUUUGUGCUCCCUGUAGAGAAGAGCAAACAUCAGCGGGGGGAUGUAACUCGGAGAGUGCUUCUCUGCAUGUCAGAGCUUGUGUUCAAUACUUAAUAACACAAACAAAAAUAAACAAACAAAUAAAUAAAAACACAGAAGUAGUAUUAUCUAACAUGACACAUGGAUUAUUUUUGCAUAAUUGAAAACAGAGCAAACAUCAAAUAGUGUUAUAGAUCAUCUGUCACAAGUAAUUUUUUUGCUCAACUAUGACUUUUACUUAAGAGUAAAAUAUUAAUCUUCAAAAACAGUCAUAGCAUUAGGAUAUCUAACUUAAUCAUGGUAAACAUAAUCAUUUAGAACUAUCACAGUAUCUAGCUGUUCAAUAAUCUGAAACAACAAUCUAAAUUCUUGGUGUUCUCAGCUAAAAAGAAUGAACAGUUCGAUAGGGCUUUGCCAGAAGCAAAACACGUCUGGGACUGGAGAUACUGUCAAGAGAGCAGUUGUGAGUGUAGUGGCAGUUCAUGAGUUCAGCGAGUCUGCCAGCCAGGUCAUGUGGUUCUGAUGUAUUUGCUGAAAUGUAUUUAAGCAUGGGCUGUAAGACAAUUACUCCUGUGCAGAGGAUGCUUCCAAAUUUGCAAUGCAGAUCAGGCAGAAUCUAAAAGGAAUGAUAUUCUUACUUGCCUAAUAAAAUCACCCACAUAACUUAAAGAUUUCAAAAGAAAAGCAUAUUUUCCUUCUAAAAGCUCUUCUGAGUUCUAAUCUAAAGUCUUCAGGCUCCAUACAUUUGAUUCCUAUUUGUCAGUCUAAAUCUCUGGAAUAAAGGAAAGUAGUAAUUAAACACAGUUACAAGGUUAAAUACUACAGCAGAUACAGUGAAAAAUAGUUAAGCUUGUGGAUCAAAACAAAGUAAGUCCAAAUAGCCAGAGAGGCCUUAAGAAUUUCCAGGUGGGCGCUAGAGAGACCACGGAAGGGUAGAGAAUGUGUGCUGCUCUUGCAGAGGACCAGAGUCAGGCACAACCUCUGUCAGUCCAGCUGCAAGGAAUCUGGCUCCUCUUAUGCAAUCUGUGAGACCUGUGCCGGGUGUACAUAUCCACUCUCACACAGCAUUUUUUAAACUAAUACAAAUCUUAAUGAAAUGAAGUUAUAGGUGAUAUUGCUCUUAGAAGAGUCGAGAAAAGAUGUAUCUAAACAUGUAUGGUUAUUUUAAUAAAGAAGAAACACUUACACAGUCA
This is a non-coding RNA of Cricetulus griseus (Chinese hamster), 12015 nucleotides long. NCBI's taxonomy places the organism in Eukaryota, Metazoa, Chordata, Mammalia, Rodentia, Cricetidae. The record is from RefSeq and is a predicted model, not a curated record.